RNAcentral lists this ribosomal RNA (951 nucleotides) under Staphylococcus aureus. Its description in RNAcentral is "partial 23S ribosomal RNA". It matches the Rfam family "Bacterial large subunit ribosomal RNA", at positions 609 to 1561 of the family's 2925-position model. The record is from RNAcentral. Lineage: Bacteria; Bacillati; Bacillota; Bacilli; Caryophanales; Staphylococcaceae.
UGUAGAAUGAACCGGCGAGUUACGAUUUGAUGCAAGGUUAAGCAGUAAAUGUGGAGCCGUAGCGAAAGCGAGUCUGAAUAGGGCGUUUAGUAUUUGGUCGUAGACCCGAAACCAGGUGAUCUACCCUUGGUCAGGUUGAAGUUCAGGUAACACUGAAUGGAGGACCGAACCGACUUACGUUGAAAAGUGAGCGGAUGAACUGAGGGUAGCGGAGAAAUUCCAAUCGAACCUGGAGAUAGCUGGUUCUCUCCGAAAUAGCUUUAGGGCUAGCCUCAAGUGAUGAUUAUUGGAGGUAGAGCACUGUUUGGACGAGGGGCCCCUCUCGGGUUACCGAAUUCAGACAAACUCCGAAUGCCAAUUAAUUUAACUUGGGAGUCAGAACAUGGGUGAUAAGGUCCGUGUUCGAAAGGGAAACAGCCCAGACCACCAGCUAAGGUCCCAAAAUAUAUGUUAAGUGGAAAAGGAUGUGGCGUUGCCCAGACAACUAGGAUGUUGGCUUAGAAGCAGCCAUCAUUUAAAGAGUGCGUAAUAGCUCACUAGUCGAGUGACACUGCGCCGAAAAUGUACCGGGGCUAAACAUAUUACCGAAGCUGUGGAUUGUCCUUUGGACAAUGGUAGGAGAGCGUUCUAAGGGCGUUGAAGCAUGAUCGUAAGGACAUGUGGAGCGCUUAGAAGUGAGAAUGCCGGUGUGAGUAGCGAAAGACGGGUGAGAAUCCCGUCCACCGAUUGACUAAGGUUUCCAGAGGAAGGCUCGUCCGCUCUGGGUUAGUCGGGUCCUAAGCUGAGGCCGACAGGCGUAGGCGAUGGAUAACAGGUUGAUAUUCCUGUACCACCUAUAAUCGUUUUAAUCGAUGGGGGGACGCAGUAGGAUAGGCGAAGCGUGCGAUUGGAUUGCACGUCUAAGCAGUAAGGCUGAGUAUUAGGCAAAUCCGGUACUCGUUAAGGCUGAGC